Molecule: small nucleolar RNA, 134 nt
Organism: Suncus etruscus (white-toothed pygmy shrew)
Lineage: Eukaryota; Metazoa; Chordata; Mammalia; Eulipotyphla; Soricidae
Product: small nucleolar RNA SNORA5
Exons: 1
Source: RefSeq, a predicted model, not a curated record
CACAGCUGAGUCAAAUUCAGCACCUGCCCCACCCAUGACAGAUGCUGGCCAAAAAGGCUGCCAUUGGAACGCUGUGACUCAUGGGCCCUGAUGUCCCUCCUGGACCUCAGGAAUAAAUUUGGUCACAGACAGCA